This 305-nucleotide ribosomal RNA is filed under the name uncultured bacterium. RNAcentral describes it as "bacterial SSU rRNA". It matches the Rfam family "Bacterial small subunit ribosomal RNA", at positions 334 to 655 of the family's 1533-position model. The record is from RNAcentral.
UCCUCCCUACGGGAGGCAGCAGUGGGGGAUAUUGCACAAUGGGGGAAACCCUGAUGCAGCGACGCCGCGUGAGUGAAGAAGUAUUUCGGUACGUAAAGCUCUAUCAGCAGGGAAGAAUAAUGACGGUACCUGACUAAGAAGCCCCGGCUAACUACGUGCCAGCAGCCGCGGUAAUACGGAGGAUGCGAGCGUUAUCCGGAUUUAUUGGGUUUAAAGGGUGCGCAGGCGGUCUGUUAAGUCAGCGGUCAAAGCCCGGGGCUCAACCCCGGCCCGCCGUUGAAACUGGCAGUCUCGAGUUGGAGAGA